UACGUAGGGGGCUAGCGUUAUCCGGAAUUACUGGGCGUAAAGGGUGCGUAGGUGGUUUCUUAAGUCAGAGGUGACAGGCUACGGCUCAACCGUAGUAAGCCUUUGAAACUGGGAAACUUGAGUGCAGGAGAGGAGAGUGGAAUUCCUAGUGUAGCGGUGAAAUGCGUAGAUAUUAGGAGGAACACCAGUUGCGAAGGCGGCUCUCUGGACUGUAACUGACACUGAGGCACGAAAGCGUGGGGAGCAAACAGGAUUAGAUACCCUGGUAGUCCCUGA
This 276-nucleotide ribosomal RNA is filed under the name uncultured prokaryote. RNAcentral describes it as "partial 16S ribosomal RNA". It matches the Rfam family "Bacterial small subunit ribosomal RNA", at positions 524 to 800 of the family's 1533-position model. The record is from RNAcentral.